Molecule: ribosomal RNA, 477 nt
Filed under: Triticum aestivum (bread wheat)
Lineage: Eukaryota; Viridiplantae; Streptophyta; Magnoliopsida; Poales; Poaceae
Description: partial small subunit ribosomal RNA
Source: RNAcentral
AUGCUCCCUAUGAUGACGCCCGUCGUUUUCUUCAUCAAGACGGCGCCAAGGAGGACAAAGGCGUGGAGAUCGCGAGGAUGCCGUCGCCGUGCCACUGUGGAUGGUGGCCCGGAGCUCGCCAAGACGAUGUCCAUCGCCAACAUUAUCAAGCUGGAGUCUGGAGGCAUGGAACUCGCGGGGAUCCUGCCACGUGCCGCGGAGGAUGGCGACACAGAGCUCACUAGGAUGAUGCCCGUCAUCUUCUUCAUCAAGCCGGCGGCAUGGACGACGGAGGCAUGGAACUCGCGAGGAUGCCGCUACCGUGCCAUGGUGGAUAGCGACACGGAUCUCACCAGCACGACAUCAUCAAGCUGGUGUCACGGAGAACAAAGGCGUGGAGUUUGUGGUACGACACCACCGAUGUCUACCUCGUCAAGACGGAGCCUGCGACCCAGAGCCACGAAGACGACACACACCCCAGUGCUGCCCGCAACAUGA